GCUUGACUGCGAGACAGACACGUCGAGCAGGUACGAAAGUAGGUCUUAGUGAUCCGGUGGUUCUGUAUGGAAGGGCCAUCGCUCAACGGAUAAAAGGUACUCCGGGGAUAACAGGCUGAUACCGCCCAAGAGUUCAUAUCGACGGCGGUGUUUGGCACCUCGAUGUCGGCUCAUCACAUCCUGGGGCUGAAGCCGGUCCCAAGGGUAUGGCUGUUCGCCAUUUAAAGUGGUACGCGAGCUGGGUUUAGAACGUCGUGAGACAGUUCGGUCCCUAUCUGCCGUGGACGUUUGAGAUUUGAGAGGGGCUGCUCCUAGUACGAGAGGACCGGAGUGGACGAACCUCUGGUGUUCCGGUUGUCACGCCAGUGGCAUUGCCGGGUAGCUAUGUUCGGAAAAGAUAACCGCUGAAAGCAUCUAAGCGGGAAACUUGCCUCAAGAUGAGAUCUCACUGGGAACUUGAUUCCCCUGAAGGGCCGUCGAAGACUACGACGUUGAUAGGCUGGGUGUGUAAGCGUUGUGAGGCGUUGAGCUAACCAGUACUAAUUGCCCGUGAGGCUUGACCA
Molecule: ribosomal RNA, 563 nt
Filed under: Pseudomonas aeruginosa
Lineage: Bacteria; Pseudomonadati; Pseudomonadota; Gammaproteobacteria; Pseudomonadales; Pseudomonadaceae
Description: partial 23S ribosomal RNA
Rfam family: Bacterial large subunit ribosomal RNA
Source: RNAcentral